RNAcentral lists this transfer RNA (72 nucleotides) under Bos taurus (domestic cattle). It matches the Rfam family "tRNA". Rfam says of the family: Transfer RNA (tRNA) molecules are approximately 80 nucleotides in length. RNAcentral also lists the same sequence under 4 other names. The record is from Rfam by way of RNAcentral. Lineage: Eukaryota; Metazoa; Chordata; Mammalia; Artiodactyla; Bovidae.
UCCCUGAUAGCUUAGUUGGUAAAGAAUCUGCCUGAAAUGCAGGAGACCUGGGUUCAAUCCCUGGGUUGGGAA